AUACGAACCGGACAAACGUUAUUCGGAAUUAUUGGGCUUAAAGGGUGCGUAGGCGGCUUUGUAGGUGGGGUGUGAAAUCCCUCGGCUCAACCGAGGAAUUGCGCCUCAAACCCCAAGGCUCGAGGGAGACAGAGGUAAGCGGAACUGAUGGUGGAGCGGUGAAAUGCGUUGAUAUCAUCAGGAACACCAGUGGCGAAAGCGGCUUACUGGGUCUCUUCUGACGCUGAGGCACGAAAGCUAGGGUAGCGAACGGGAUUAGAAACCCCAGUAGUCC
RNAcentral lists this ribosomal RNA (274 nucleotides) under uncultured bacterium. Its description in RNAcentral is "partial 16S ribosomal RNA". It matches the Rfam family "Bacterial small subunit ribosomal RNA", at positions 523 to 796 of the family's 1533-position model. The record is from RNAcentral.